Molecule: non-coding RNA, 24 nt
Filed under: Arabidopsis thaliana (thale cress)
Lineage: Eukaryota; Viridiplantae; Streptophyta; Magnoliopsida; Brassicales; Brassicaceae
Source: RNAcentral
UCGUUAUUAUUUGAACCGCACCGC